CCUACGGGUGGCAGCAGUGAGGAAUAUUGGUCAAUGGACGCAAGUCUGAACCAGCCAUGCCGCGUGAAGGAAGACGGCCCUAUGAGUUGUAAACUGCUUUUGUACGAGGGUAAACGCAGAUACGCGUACCUGUCUGAAAGUAUUGUACGAAUAAGGAUCGGCUAACUCCGUGCCAGCAGCCGCGGUAAUACGGAGGAUUCAAGCGUUAUCCGGAUUUAUUGGGUUUAAGGGGUGCGUAGGCGGUCGGAUAAGUUAGAGGUGAAAGCCCGAGGCUCAACUUCGGAAUUGCAUCUGAUACUGGCCGGCUAGAGAGUAGUUGAGGUAGGCGGAAUGCAUGGUGUAGCGGUGAAAUGCUUAGAGAUCAUGAAGAACACCGAUUGCGAAGGCAGCUUACCAAGCUACUACUGACGUUGAGGCACGAAAGCGUGGGGAGCAAACAGGAUUAGAUACCCUUGUAGUC
Molecule: ribosomal RNA, 460 nt
Filed under: uncultured bacterium
Lineage: Bacteria
Description: partial 16S ribosomal RNA
Rfam family: Bacterial small subunit ribosomal RNA
Source: RNAcentral